Small nuclear RNA from Diorhabda sublineata, 107 nucleotides. Lineage: Eukaryota; Metazoa; Arthropoda; Insecta; Coleoptera; Chrysomelidae. The record is from RefSeq and is a predicted model, not a curated record.
GUACUUGCUUCGGCAGUACAUAUACUGAAAUUGAAACGAUACAGAGAAUAUGAGUAUAGCCACUGCGUAAGGAUGACAAGAAAUAUCGUGAAGUGUUUCACAUUUUU